Molecule: transfer RNA, 77 nt
Filed under: Pectinatus frisingensis
Lineage: Bacteria; Bacillati; Bacillota; Negativicutes; Selenomonadales; Selenomonadaceae
Also listed under: 8 other names
Description: tRNA-Pro
Rfam family: tRNA
About the family: Transfer RNA (tRNA) molecules are approximately 80 nucleotides in length.
Source: RNAcentral
CGGGAUGUAGCACAGUUUGGUAGCGCGCAUCGUUCGGGACGAUGAGGUCGCAGGUUCGAAUCCUGUCAUCCCGACCA